RNAcentral lists this ribosomal RNA (76 nucleotides) under Mielichhoferia mielichhoferiana. RNAcentral describes it as "partial 5.8S ribosomal RNA". Lineage: Eukaryota; Viridiplantae; Streptophyta; Bryopsida; Bryales; Mniaceae. The record is from RNAcentral.
AUAUUUGAAUCAUCGAGUCUUUGAACGCAAGUUGCGCCCGAGGCUUGUCCAAGGGCAUUUCCGCUAGAGCGUCACC